UACGAAGGGGGGCUAGCGUUGCUCGGAAUUACUGGGCGUAAAGGGCGCGUAGGCGGGUCGUUUAGUUAGAGGUGAAAGCCCAGGGCUCAACCCUGGAAUUGCCUUUAAUACUGGCGACCUUGAGUAUGGCAGAGGUGUGUGGAACUCCGAGUGUAGAGGUGAAAUUCGUAGAUAUUGGGAAGAACACCGGUGGCGAAGGCGGCUCACUGGCUCAUUACUGACGCUCAGGCGCGAUAGCGUGGGGAUCAAACAGG
RNAcentral lists this ribosomal RNA (254 nucleotides) under uncultured bacterium. Its description in RNAcentral is "partial 16S ribosomal RNA". It matches the Rfam family "Bacterial small subunit ribosomal RNA", at positions 524 to 776 of the family's 1533-position model. The record is from RNAcentral.